Molecule: long non-coding RNA, 40992 nt
Filed under: Setaria italica (foxtail millet)
Lineage: Eukaryota; Viridiplantae; Streptophyta; Magnoliopsida; Poales; Poaceae
Description: long non-coding RNA (SITA_LNC004893)
Source: RNAcentral
UCACAUUCUGCUUUUUCCCCAUCAUCUAAUGCCUGCGUGAACACUACUCUGCUCUGCUCCUGUCUAAGCCCGACAUGACCAGAUUACCACUCUUCUGUGAAGGAUCGACACGAAGAUUAACUGCUGGAAAUGCAAACUGCAACAUGGAUGCCACUUGUCACUAUAAGAAUGACAUAAAAUUCCCACCUUCUAAGCGCACUGUGUUCAGACAUCUUUUCCCCAGAGGAAAUUAAGGCAUAACUGCAGAACAUUAACCCUCAAAGCAAGUUAGUUGAGGUUUUCCAAUGAGCUCUUGGGUCCAUUGGUAGUGAAGUGAGCUUCAGGUAACAGCUCUUGUCGAGGCUUUAGUUAUAAAAUAACAUAUGAAAUUGCUCUUUGCUCUUUUCUUCCGGCUGCAGCUAAAGAACAAAGACGCAAGGAACUUUUCUUUUCAAAAAACUAGUCAUAUGGAAUGAACUUUUGUUUGUAAUAAUCAUACGGAAGGAACCUUUUUUUUAAAACAAAAAAUAAAGAGAUGGAAAGAUCUGUCGUCCAGGGAUUUUUUAACCUUUUUUAAAAUAUUUUAAAAAAAAAUCUCUCCCCACUUUAUUUGCACGGGGUAACCCUUUUGGCGGCGCUAGUGCCCGUGGCAUGCCCUGGUGCCACGGUGGCGUGGCGUCCCGCGCCGUGCCAGCGCGGUGCUAACCUAGCCUCGCGCUUGCCAUGCCACCCUGCUUGGCGCGACAAGGCUGCCGCGCGGUAGCGCCUGGGUUACAGGCCGCGCGCGCCGGCUCCUCCUCCUGGCAUACAGCAUAAGAAAGCCCUUGUUUGAAGCUAAUAUUAAACAGUAUAAACAGUUGGAGGAGAGGAAUGACCAUGUUGUUUGGUAAUUUAAAUGAAGCAGAAAUCAGCAAAAUAUAGGUGCAAACACUUGGACUUGGAGUAUCCAAAACAUUUCACAGUAACAUUUCCAUUAUAUUUUUUAGUAAUUGAGCAUUACUAAACACAGGAAAACAAUAUAAAGUAAAUCAGAAAUACUAACCCUCAUCCGUUUCAUGCUCCUGAGCUCCUCAGGUCCGAAUCGCUGUGCAUCCUCCUGCGUGAAAACAUCAAGAAAGAUGGUAAGAGAUAGAUAAGUCAUUACACAUUUAUACCAACAUAAGACGAGCAUUUUCAUUACGAUGCACCUUCUGGUCUCCAUGCCAGGAGCAAAAAACAAGCAUCAUACAGAUCAAGAGAUAUAUUACUAAAAAAUACUCAGAUUUACCUCUUUCUGCUGUGCACUGUGUUUGCCACAGUAUGCUUUGUGCUGUGAUGUAGUACCAAACCCUUUUGUGUUCAUGUUAGCCGUUGACGCAAUCGUGUGGCCGUCGCGGCUCGUCCUUGGCCAGCAAUAGAGGCGGAGCAGCAGUUGCGGCACAGCAAAAGCGUUGCAGCAGCAGGGGAGCAAGGGCAGCAGUAGAGUCGGAGCAACGGCGGCGGCACAUAGAAAAAGGGGACACAGAUCAAAUGCAGUGGCCACUGCCACUACAAGAUAACACUGCACGCAAUCUCAGCCGUCCGAUCUCCCCGCGAACAGUCCAGAUCUGACGCUACAUUGCUUAUCUUGCAGUGGCAGUGUGCUACAGUGAUCCGUCUCACACCUGCCCAUUGCUUAUCUUGCAGUGGCAAUGGUCACAGCACCGGAUCCAUAUCCAUAGAAAAGACAAGGGAAAGAAGGGAACGGAUAAGGUCAAACAAGAAUGAAUGGCUAGAAAAGAAAAAAUAGAGGAAAAAAGAAAGAAGAAAAAGACGUGUAAUCCCAUCGUAAAAUACCAGGGAUCCUAGAGGUUUUAAAAUAUAUUAGCAGUGUUGGGGGAAAUAUUAACGAUCUCCUAAUGACCAUUAAAAUAACAAUCAUGAAGGCUCAGGCCCACCUGCGGCAAUGGCGGCCGCCGUUGGCCCAACAUGGGAGGGAAGCGCCCCGCUCCGCCUCGCCCGACCCAGUGUCCCGGGGUCGGACGCUCCCGACCCCUCGAUGACCAGACUCCGCCUCGCCCGACCUCUCGUCGCAAGACUCCGCCUUGCCCGACCCAGGGCGCAGGGGGUCGGACUCAUCCAAGCCCACAAGACAAGUAUCCGCCUCGGGCGCAGACUGGAAGAUAAGAGUGCGGAUCUCGUGGGCCCCCCUGCCGAUCUUGCCAUAAAUGCGCCGCGGCUCUGGUGCGCAGAAAGGCGCCCGCGCCCCCGACGUGACCCGCCACAAGUACCCAUGCAUGACCGCACAGCACAGGCUACAGUGGUCGCGGCUCUCCCUGAUUCGCUGCAGGACACUCAUGGCCUGUGUCGCUCGGCACAAGAAGAAGCCCCGCCCGUUCUCGCGCCCCGCGCGUCCGACGACAGGGAUGCGACGUCCGUGUCCCACGGGCCAUCAGCAAGAUAACAGGAUUAGCCGUCUCCCCCCGACGUGCACAGUCACCACGACCGAACACCAUGAUCAUGUUUGGCGGCAACAGUCACCGGGGAGAUCGUCGACAGGACCGAGGGCGGCUGCCCUUCCCCGACGGACACGCUGACAGGAUCUGAGGGCCGGAGCAGGAGAUGGCGGCCCUGGAACUUGAUCCUUCUCCUUGUAUUUUACUUUACUUAACUUGUCUCUUUUACUUCUCCUCACACCCAGUCUCACCUAUAACCCCGGUGUCCUCCUUGCGCUAUAAAAGGAGAACCGGGGGCCCUAAGAUAGGGGACUCGCUCAAGCGAAGAGAACAUACACACUCACCAUUAGAGCAUCAGUGCACACCCAAGAGACUUGGCACCAGCUCCCUCUCUCGCCCUCCUGUAACCCCUACUACAGACAUCGCGUGGGCAACACGAGCAGCUCCUCAUACUGGACGUAGGGUUUUCCCUUGUUCGAACCAGUCUAAACCCCGUGUCUCCCAUGCCACCAUCCAAAGCCUUACGCGCAUAAAAGAAAUUUACUAGUCUUAGUCUUGAUCCGCUAAUCUUGACAACGACAAGCAGGAGUAGCAAAAGAUGCAUGCACCCCUGAAUUAAUAGUAGUUGCAGAUAAUAAGGAAUUUAGUUUUAGCCACCUUAUCUUGUUAAUUAUAGAAAGAAAGAAAUGAGUAAUCAUUCAAAUAUACUUACAAUGCCUUGUAUUCAAGAACAAAUUUCGAAAGAUUGAAUGUUUUGUAUUAUAAGACGGAGGGAGUAAAAAAGAGAGAAGGAUUGGAUUGGAUAAUAAGUAAUAAAGGAAAGGGAUAAGAAAAGAGAAAAACAAAAGGAGGGGAUAAGAAGGAAAAAGAAAAAAAAUGGUAAAGGUAUUAUUCUCUACUAUAUUAAAAACUAAAGAGGACAUAAAAAAGCGGUCCGUCGUUUGCCCACGCGCUCGAUGUCCCUCGCUUCGGUGUUUUUCGUCCGUCGGUUCCGCGUCGUCCGCUCAGGAGCCGUUCAAUCGGCGCUUCCGUGAAUUGAGGCGCGCGGCCCUUCUCUUUCGUCCGUUUCCCUCCGUGCGGAACACUCCGUCCCUAGAUCCUUCUCCCUGCGUGCCAUCUGCCGCCGCCACUUCCCCUCCUUGCGUCCUUUCCUGCGUGCCACUGACGGCGGCGCCACUUCUCCCUGCGUGCCAUUGACGGCGGCGCCUAGGGUUCGAGCGGGCUCUGUGGCGCUUGGGCUUCGACGCUGGCGGCCCCCUCCCACUCCGGCGGCGCCCCUCUACACGAGCAUCCGUGGUCCUUUUCUUUCCCCUCCGGAUCCGCUCCUCCCUGGCCGGCGCAAGCAGAAGGCUCUGGCGGCACGAUUGGUGGCCGCCGGCGGCUCUCCCAGGCUUCGUCGCCAGUGCAGGACGGCCCCUCUACAAGAGCAUCCACGAUCCUCUUCUUCCCCUCUCCGGACCUGCUCCUCCCUGGCCGGCGCAAGCAGAAGACUCCGGCGGCGCGACUGGUGGCCGCUAGUUCCUCACCCGGGCUUCGUCGCUCCGGACGUUUUGGUCCGCACCCCCGCACCAAUCUAGAUCACCAACCAUGGUAUUCGGAGCUCUCAUCGCGUCAAGGAUGGCCAGGUCCAGCCGCACCCUCGCCUCUGCCGUUGCCUAGGUCCGCGCCACCUCUGUUCCCCUACACCUGAUAGUGCUUCUCAGUCAAUGCCCAGUUCCAAUCUAUCCAAGAUUCUCGCAAUUUUUGGUGCUGUGCAUUCGUUUGAUGAUGGUUUGGGUUCAUCUGUUGUGCUUAUUUGUUCUGCUUGCAAUCUGAUUAGGGUGAACGGUGCCUCCUCUGUUGUCCAGGCUUGGAGCUGUAGCUUGUGCUUAGGUAAUUAGGAGUUGGGGUUGUCAUAUCAUCAACCAUUCUGCAUCCAUGACAAGGUUCUUCGCUUUUUGGAUGUUAAUGUGUGUGUUCUGUGCUUCUGUGUGCAGCACAAAGCUGCUGGCGGCGGCAGCACAAAGCAGUUAGUUUCCACUUGUACUUAGUAGAGAUAAUUGAUAUUCAAUUAGGUAUUGGAGCCUCAAGUAUGCUUGCUGUGCCAGGAAAAAUUGCAAAAGUUGUCAAUUUACCUAAAACUUUCUGUCACCUUGCAGAGGCAGAUUGUUCUGGAACAGAGAGUAAUAGAUGCUGCUAGCUUAAAGAUACAGGUAAUUUUAGUUAAUUGGUCGUUGAUUAACUGUCAUGUGGUAUAGCUCAAAGAUUCUCUUUGUUCCUCUGAGAAGAAAGUGGCAGAGCAUUCAGGUAGAGCUGUACAUCUGGAGCCAUCUACCUCGGCCACUGUAAGCUUUUGCUCACAGGUAUUUGCUAUCAGCUGUAGACUUUAUUUUCAAACUAAUUACGAUCCUUAGUUUAAGCAUCCAUUCUACUAUCAUAUAAACAAAAAUAGUAAACAAAUAUAUCUUACCCCCUUACCUUAGAAUCAGGUUUGCAUCUCAACCAUAGAUAACAAAAAUAAUAAACAAAUAUAACUUGCCCCCUCUACCUUAGAAUCAGGUUUGCAUCUCAACUGCAGAUCUAUCAUUCGCUAAUGAGGGAGUUAAAACAGAGGAAAGUCCCCUCCUUAGUUUUUAAACUCAUGGUCACUGGGCAGCUUAAACUUAGAAAACCGGAAUGCUUGUGUGAUUUCCUUGCGUUAGUGAAAUGGCAGGCGAACUGGUAUUUAGGAAAAUACAUGUCAUGUAAAACCUGUCCUCAAGCACUAUACACAACAUCUGUACCCGUGCACUCUCAAGAAGCUCUGGUAUCUAGACUCUGACAACUACCACUUAUAUCCAAUCCAAGCCCUCAAUUACCAUGAUACUAUGUUGUAUUGCUACAGAAUAUAGCAAUUUUAGAUGAAGAACUCUUCUCUACUACAUACUGAUGCUCCAUGAAACAAACACACCUGCUUAUAUUUGGGAGGUGUUAUAUAUCAGAACCCUGGAGAAAAUGAUUAAUUCCAGGUGACUGAUAUCCACCGCAUGAUUAUGAUCCAUUGGUAAAUAUACCUUCCUCCUCCUCUUGACAGGCCAUCUCUUUGCGCGUGUCCGACAGUAACUGCUGCAAGGCCAAUCAACCCACCCUGCUAACAUCAAUGCGACAGAGAACUCAACAAAUCUGACCCUGUCAACACCGGAAGCAUAAAAAUCAUAACAUAACUCAAGGUAUUUCCAAUACUAACUAUUCAAGGUAUUUUGCAAUUGAAUUUGUGAAGCAUAGUUAUGUACGUUUAUGGUCAUUUAUCCAUAAAAGACAGCAACCAGAAACUUCCAGACCACAUCAUCUCUUUCCGGGGAAAUUGCAACAAAUUUUCAUGUCAUGAAGGUUGCUGAGUGAAAUCAUACAUGGUUAUCGGCUGCCCGGUCAUAUUGCUUAGGAAUAUCGACCCUGCGAAUGGGCUGUGCAAUGGUACAAGGUUGGUGGUUCGAGGCUUCCAAAAAAAAUUCAAUCGAUGCUGAAAUUGUGCUGGGACAGCAUGCCGGAAAGAGGGUUUUCCUUCCUCGAAUACCGUUGUGCCCCUCUGACGAUGAGAUGUUCCCAUUCCAAUUUAAGAGGAAGCAGUUCCCUAUUAGGCUCAGCUUCGCCAUGACGGUCAACAAGUCAUAGGGCCAAACUAUACCAAAUGUGGGUGUGUACCUACCCGCUCCUGUGUCUCUCAUGGUCAGUUGUAUGUUGCUAUGUCUAGAGCCACAGCCAGAACGAAUAUCAAGAUCCUCGCCCUCCCACCAAACGCAGAGGCAGACGAGGAACAGACUAAAAAGAAGAAAAAGAAAACUACUAAUAAGAAAGUGAACGGUCAGGGUAAUCAAAAUAAUAAUGAACAAAAAGGUAGUUCAGAGAAGAAGAAAAGGGUACCAACAGUAGAUGGCACGUAUACGAAGAAUAUUGUAUACAAGGAGGUUCUAACACCUUAGGCGAGGUAAGAUAAUAAUUAUUUGUGCGUGUCUUACACUUUUCAUUUAUUUUUUUUAAAAUACUUAACUCAUCAAUUUCAUGUUUCUUUGGUCUUGGCAGUUGCUAGACUUGAGUGGCAUUUUCACUGUGUUUUUUUGUGGUAUUGUGAUGUCACACUACACUUGGCAUAAUGUGACAAAGAGCUCAAGAGUGACAACCAAGUAAUCAUACUCACUCCAUAAUUUAUUCCACCAGUAAUGUUCAUAGCAAGUUAAAUAAAAAGAUACCAAUUGAUUUUCUUUGGACUUUUUUUUAUCUACUCAGGCAUGCCUUUGCAACUUUGUCCUUCAUUGCUGAGAUGUUCCUUUUCAUGUAUGUUGGUAUGGAUGCGUUUGAUAUCGAAAAGAGGGAGUUUGCCAGUAACAGGUCAGUUUAAUGCACUUUCUAAAACUUUCUGGUCCGCAACUUGUUCAGGUACUUUUAUGUUAAGAGAUGUUGAUAGCAAUUCCAGGAUUAUCUUGCAUUUUAAAUUUGAAUGCACUCAAAUAUCAUAUCGAUUCUCUACUCAAAUCAUUUUAACACUUCAUUUUUGCGUGAUGGAAGAGUUACAGUUGGUCCUGAUAAAGUAAUAAACAACUUAUUUACUUAAUUCUGCUGUGUGAAAACUUUGAUUUCCACUGCAAACUCUGCAAUGUUUUUGGGUUUAAUGAUGAUAUUUUGGGUAUUGCAUUAGAUCAGGAUAUGUUUUGGAUCCAUUAUUUGCCUCAUAAUGGUUAACCGUGUUGUGUGAAAUGUUGCUGGUCCAAACAGCAAGCACCAGUAAAUAACAAUAUUUUUGUGAACUGUUGCAGAUGUUCAUCGGUGAUGGAGCCAAGCUUGUUCGAGAUGCUUUUCAGCUGGCCAAGGAGAAAACCCUCUGCAUCAUAUUUUAUUGAUGAAAUUGAUGCUAUUGGAACAAAGCGUUUUUCAUCUAUCUUCUGGCGCAAGAAGCGAAUGCUUGUAGGACAAGACUACCAAGCAUUGUAAAAUAUUUUCUUUGGUGCAUCACAUGCAAAAAAAAUAGGAUAGAUGUGGCAUUUGGAUGACCUGUUUUAUAUUUAUUUCACGAAUUCAAUCUUAGAUGAUAUACUUAUUUCAUAUUUAUACAUGUUUUAUACUUUUAUUAUCCUGUUGAAUCCAAUAUUUUGCAAUAUAAAAAUUUUGUUGCCCGUAGCAACGCACGGGCACGAUCCUAGUAGUAUAUAACAAUCUAAUUACUGGGUAAUAUAUAAUUCAUACAAAACUUAAAAUUUUGGUUAAUCUAAUUUCUAUUCAUUAUUUUUUUAAAAACUUCAUAUGACAGAUCACAUUAUAAUUGAAGACGAAUAUAAACUCAUGUGUACAUCUAAAGGCAUAUAGAACAUUUGUAUAUAGCUGGCUGGAUUCGCUCCUUCUUUCAUUACUAGCCCGUUAACCUAACUAAAUCAAGACAUAUCCUGAUAAAAAAACAGAUCAAGACACCGUAGGUCCUUUGUCUUUUAUUUCAUCGAUGCUAUCUCUUGCAUUUGUGCUUUUGGAUCAUUUUUCUUUCACCUUUUUCUUUCUUUUUCGCUUUCUUUUUUCAAUGGGAGGAGAUAGGCAGAACCGAUGGCCCAAGAACACAGCAAGAAGGCCGUUUUCCAUCCAGACGAAAAGAAAAGAGGAACCGACGGCCCACUAGCUUUCCAUCCAACUAAAAGGCCCAAGACAAGUCCUCCGGCUGCAAACUGCUAUUCUGCAACCCUCCGCGCACCUAGCCGCCGCCAUCGCCGCCAUGGAGGACGACAAGACGCCACCGCAGCCGCAGCCCGAAGUCGUCGGCGAGAAGCGAAAGAGGGAGGAGGGUUCGCCGGACGCGGCUACCGAAGACGCGCCACCUGCCUCCGCUGCCUUCGGUGAGGAUGCGGCCAGCAGCGGCCGGCACCCGAUGUGGAAGACGAGCCUCUGCUCCUACUUUCGCCGCCGCGGCGCCGGCGCCGAAGGGUGCAGCCACGGGGAGUCCUGCCGCUACGCGCACACGGAGGAGGAGCUCCGCCCGCGGCCCGACGGCACCUGGGACCCCACCUCCGACCGCGCCAAGAAGCUCCGCAAGGUCGCCGCGGAGGCCCAGGAGGAGACCGAGGAGGAGGUCACGGUGGAUGAACAAUCGCUCGACAAGUGCCUCGUCGGGCUUCCCAGGGGGUGGACGGCUGAUAGGCUCAAGGGCUUCCUUCAAGACCAGGCAAGUAGAUGAUGGUUUUACAGUGUACCAUAGAAGUCGAACUAACACAUAUGGAGUGUAGUCCUUUUCCUUCGAAGAAAUUAGGGUAUGACUUUGCAUUUAUCAAACCUGCUUUUUUAUGCCAACUCCACCAAUCGAAAUUUUAUGAUUCAAAUGAUGGUGCUGCAGGGAAUCUCCUACGCGACAGCAAAGAAGAAGAAGGGAAUGACAGUUGGUUUUGUGACUUUCGAAAGUGUCGAACAACUAACAAAUGCAGUUCAGGUAAUUAUCUGUCUGUUCAUACAGGGAACUUGGGUGUUGUAGAAAGUAUAAGCUUGACCUUUUCCUCUCGAUUUGAUUAGGUCCUCAAGGAGAACCCUUCUGGUGGAAAAGAAAUAAAGAUAGCAGAUGCUAAUCGUAGGUCUCAUCAAAAAGUGCACGCUGAAGGGCCUGCAUCGGAUAAUGGAACUGCAACAGAAAAUGGUAGUAAUGCUGCUGCUACCGCUGGGGAAGCAUCUGCAGCUGAAGCGGUUGCAUCAAAUAAAAAAAGUGCCCGUGAUGCUGUUACUCCCCUUGCCCAUAUGUCUUACAAUGAUCAGCUAGAACACAAAAAACAUUCAAUGGCGCAGAUACUGAAGAGACUUGUAAGAACAAUUUCAGGUCCUUGUGCUGUUUUAGACAGUGCUUAACUAUGUUUCUGCAGAAAUUGCUAACCGGUUUUCUUAUUGUCUUCUAUUGCAGACUCGCAAUGCUAGAAAAGCUUGCCCGCCUGCCAUUCCCCUUCCUAAUUGGAUUUUUAAAUCAAAGGAAAUUGGUAAUGUCCUAACCUUAUUGUGUUGCAUUUUCACAUUUUAUUCUCAGUAAUUGUGGUAACCUCUAGUAACAGACAGCGAUUGAGUUGAUCUAGCUCCCAUCAUGAUCGUAUAGUUUAUGUUCCCUUUGUGUUUCAAGGAAAUGUCUAUACUAGUACUGUAUCUUUUAUCUUACACAACUAUAUGGAUAAAGAUGGUUUUACAGCAUAUUUUUUUGAUUUGGCGGAAUGUCAGAAACAUAAUGCAUAUCUGGGCAAUCCAUCUGGGAUUGUGAGUAAACUGAUACAAUCUCCAUCCUUGGAAGAGUUAAAUAUAGUAUUAAUGGGCAUGCGUUCUAGUGCUUACUUAAUAUUACCCAUAAGUUAAUGCAAAUUUCUAGUUAAUAUAGACAGUAUUAACCAUCAGUUACAUAUAUUAUAUGUAUGUGCUGAGGGAACAUCUUCUUGUCCACCAUGUUGUUUGUUUAUUGUAUUUUGCAUUAUCCUAUGAUGAUUAGCCCAUCUGAAUGUUGAGCGCUCUUCCACUGAAGCAUUGCUUCUAUAUUAUAAACUUCCAUGAUCCUAUCUCAGCUGAAGACUAACUCUCAUAGUUCCACCCAAGCAUUACUUCUAUCUUCAAUGCUUCCAUAAUUCAUAUCAAUAGCAGACAAACUGUUAGAAUCUCCAGGAAAAUACAUGUAAGAUGCAGUGCUUGAGUAUAAAACAUGUGGCAGCCAUGCCUUUCUUUUGGUGAAAAGUGGACAUUAGUGGCAUGCGAUCUAACUCUUCAUUAAAACAAACAAAACUAAUACACUUCGCUUACUUGAAACAUGCAUAAAUUGGUUUUUGACCAGUAUCUGUGAUGCUUGGCAAUUAAUCUCAAAUAUCCGGAACAUGCACUUCUCAUUGUUCUGACUUAUGAACAUGGGGGUAAGCAAGAUUGUUUUUUCAGCUCAGCAGGAUGCAUUUAUUGUGGUCAUUGCAAUGACCUUUAGUGCUUCGAUUCUUGGAAAUGGCCUCUUGUUCUCUCUUUUUUCCCCCCUAUGGAACAGGAAGGAGUUCUGUGUAUCAUUGCAUUAGGGGAAAUGCUAUCUACCUUUUUAUGGUAUGUAGUAAUGAUCUGUGCAAUUUCCCAGGUGGUCUUCCUUGCAAGCUUGAAGGCAUUUUGGAGUCCCCCAUUGUUGAUGGAUACCGUAACAAGUGCGAGUUCUCUGUAGGAUAUUCCUUGGAGGGCAAAAAGACAGUAGGAUUUAUGCUUGGGAAUUUCAGGUUGGCUUAUUUCUUUACCUUUUUCUUCACUGCUCUUAAUUCCAGUAAUAAUGACUGGUACAACAUGAUUCUAGGGAAGGCGUGACUGCUGUUGAGGAACCUGUGAACUGCCCAAAUGUCUCAGAAAUUUCCUGUAAAUAUGCUCAGAUCUUCCAAGAUUUUCUGCAGUCAUCAAGCUUGCCUUUGUGGAGCCGAGUUGAUAAUUGUGGGUUUUGGCGCCAACUCACAGUAUGCUCUCUCAACUUUUAAAUCCUCAGUGUGAUGCUUCUGUUUUAUAAUUAACACUUUGCACUGGGAUUUUAUUAGGUUCGUGAGGGAAGGUAUCCAGCGGAAGCUGUUGUUUUACAGAAUGUGGAAUCAAAAAUAUCAGAAGUCAUGCUUAUUGUGCAGGUUGUUUGGAGCAAAAAUGCACUUAUAGUAUCACUCCAGUGGUUAUAAAGUUUCCUAGUGGCUGACCAAUGACACUCAUCAAACUGCAUCUAUACUUUCAGGUGUGCUCAACAGAUGUCGAUGAGGCUCUAAUGAAAGAAGAGUUUGACAAGCUGUCCGCUGCCCUGAUAGAAGGAGCAGCAAUGUGCUCACCUUCCUUGCCACUAACAACUAUUGUAGUUCAAGUAAUGUUUUCCCAGCUUAUUCAGAACUAUGAUUUAUGUGCAUGUUUCCUUUCGUAUGUUCUACGCAAUUUGGAUAGGCUUCCCUUUUUUAACUUUAUUUCUUUUACUAUUUUGCUUGUAAAGUAAUUGUAUGCUGUUUAGCAAAAGCUACACUUUGUUGCGGUGGUCUGAAAUCUUGCUUAACAUUUUGCUGAGAGUACUUAAGAAUGCUACUAAUUUAUAUGGUUCUGCCUAACACUGCGCCUAUUAUUCAUUUGUUUUAGAGGCUGUUUGGUUCAUGUUAAUCUAGCAAUAAGAUUUAUAGAAAAAUAGGAUUUAGCAGAAAAAGAUUUAGCAAUAAGAUUUUUAGAAAAUAGUUUUUUAUGAUUUUUCAGGGAAAAUGAUUUUAAAUUUGUUAUUUGGUUGGAUAAGUUUACAUUCUGUUUGGAUGAGUUGUUCAACAGUAUAAAAAAUCUAGAUUGGAAACUGAUUUCAUGAGAAACAAGGGUUGGUAUGUCAUAAAACUCAUGAUAUGAGUGUUGGCAAAAAAAUGAUGUUUCUUUUUAUCUAGGUUUUAUCUUUCCUAACCAAAUCAGAUUUUAGGUUGUUAGGCCCUAAAAUUGAGUUUAGCGAAAUGUUCUUUUGAUAAAAGAUGAGAUCAAACAAUCUCUUGGGGAUGCUACUUGCAGUUUAUGUUAAUAAGUUGACCGUCUUUUUUCUUGAAAUAUUUGAAGAAUAAUGAGACCUACUUAUGCAUGCAGGAUCAUAAAGGAAUAUCAAAUGCUGCACCUGCUGAUUGCCCGCUGAUCCCACUAUUGGUGCCAAAGGGAGAUCAAUUGGGUGGCGGAGCAGAAGAUAAAACAAGAAUCCAUGAUCACAUCAGCAAUUUAAAGUUCUCCAUAUCACCGACAGCUUUUUUCCAGGUCUGUUGGUGAAAUAGCAAGUUACUUCGCCAAUCUUUUUCUAUGGUUAAAUAUAGUAAUGACAUAGUACUAUGCAGGUUAAUACUCUUGCUGCAGAAAGAUUGUAUAGCCUUGCUGGUGAUUGGGCUAACCUCAAUUCGGACACGUUACUUUUUGACGUAUGUUGUGGGACUGGAACUAUUGGUCUGACCUUAGCACAUCGUGUUGGAAUGGUGAUUUCUUUUGCCAAUUCAUAUGUUUUUAAGUGUUUGUCAUGUAAUAUAACACAUGGGCCAGAUCUGAGCUCUUAUUAACUUAUGUAGCUUAUUAGAGGAAUCUGUUUUCUUUGGAAUAAUCUUUUCAAAUCUAGUUACUAAUUGUGGCAGGUUGUUGGGAUUGAAAUGAAUGAAUCGGCAGUUUCAGAUGCUCACAGAAAUGCUCUUAUUAACGACAUAAAAAAUUGCCGAUUUGUCUGUGGGAAGGUGAGGCUCAUAUCCCGUACAUGAAAUUACAGAACUUCUCUCAUUUUAAACUACCAUCAUUCUGUUCAGUUCCACUGACCUUUGCUGAAAUAAUCUCAUUUGAGUUCAUAUGUUGGGAUUAAAUAGGCCGAAGAUGUGAUCGGGUCCCUUCUCACAGAAUAUCUUGGUUCACCACAGCAACACAUUGCAGCUUCUGAAAGUAAUUCCAUAAUCAAUGAUACAAGAGAAAAUGAAGAUACAGUUGAUUGCCUAGAAAGCAAUGGUGAAAAUAUGGACAGUUCAACAGAGACAAACAACAAUGGUGAAAGUGAGCAGCCUGGAGACAUGUCAGUUGAUCUUCCCACUUGUGCUGGUGAUGAGGAAAUAAAGGAAGAUUCAAUGGAUAGGGUUAACAAAGAGGUUGAUUCCAGUCAUAAUGAACACAAUGAGGCUGCUGGUGAACAAAAAUGUGGGGAAGCAUCAUUGAUCAAUGAUGAGUGCACUGAUACAACAUUAUCUGAUAGUUUGGAGCCUGGCAGUGGCAAGACAUGCCAGGAUAGUUCUAUUCCAAACAAAAAUGUGCUUGAUUCUAGUGCAUGCAAGUUCAAAAACGUUGUUGCAAUUGUGGACCCCCCACGUGUUGGCCUUCACCCUACUGUAAGUAAAUUUCAACCUUUUGCUGAAAGUCAAUUUCAAAAAAAAAAACCUUUUGCUGAAAGGAUUGUGAUGUUAAUUACUGAAAAAUCUACAUGUUUUUUCCACUGCACAUUCAAAGGCCUGGCUAUCUUAGUGUAUUCCUCCAUAUGCCUUGAAAUUAUUCCUUAAUAAAUCUAAUAAUAGGUCUUGUUAUUUCUCAAAUAUUUUCGUGUUAAUACCUAGCAACUACUAGCUGAUAAAUUUGGAUAGUGAUUGUAUUUGUGUUAUAUAAUUAUGUUUAUUAUACUCACAUCCUGAGCAUCAUUAUAGGUGAUCAAGGCAUUGAGGACUCAUCCACUCAUUCGACGCCUAGUGUAAGUAUUCCUCGUACCAUCUUAUUGAAUAUACAACCGGGUCUGAAAUUCACAGCUUUUCUUCUUUUCUUUAAUUGCAGGUACAUUUCCUGCAAUCCAGAUAGCCUAGUUGCCAAUGCGAUUGAGCUGUGCACCCCAACAUCUGAGAAACAAGAAAAGAACAAAGGCAAUCGAGGGUGGCGAUCUAUGAGUGCUGCUGGUCUUGCUAGGCAGCGGACGAAGUCCAUGCCCAACUCUGAGCCUUUUAUACCCAAGAGGGCGAUGGCCGUGGAUCUGUUUCCUCACACCUCGCACUGUGAGAUGGUUAUGCUUUUUGAGAGGUGAAGGAAUGAAUUGUCUAUCCAUGCAAGGCAGCAUGCCUCAAUUUCUUGUUAGACAUUUUAACCAUGCUGUCGAGGACCACAUCAGUUUUCCUCAGCUUGGUCCUCAUGUUGUAACAUUCUUAGUAACAUCUAUUUGAUUUAGAAGGCAUGGCAUUUGAUGGUUACUGUUUGAGAUCUGCAUUACUUUGAUAGGAUCGGCUACUUCAGAUUCGUUACACAUUUUGUUUCCCUGUUAAAUGGAAGCCACAGGAUUUAAUUUAAGCACCAAAAUGUACCUGCCUCAGCUUUUCUAUGGAUGGUCCAACCUGGAGUGGCAUCCUUUUUCUUUUAGAGGACCAGGAGUGGCAUCCUAGUCAGGGAAAACCGUACAUAAGUACUGGGCCUAUUGUUGGCCCAAUUCCAACUGUGAUUGCACUUAUCUUUUUGUUCAUUGUUCUACCAGUGGGUCUGUUCCUUUUUAUUUGAUCUGACAGGAUUUGAAAGAGAACGACAUGUUCCUACCGAAAUUGCAUCAUCCUAAAUCAUGCCGUCUCAUUUCGAGUAUGACGUGUUAACAAUAGGGUAUUUGACAAUACUAGACCCUUUCAUAUUGGUUCCUAGGAUUAAAUUUCAAUGCCAUUAAGGGAAAAAAAUAUUACCUGUUCUCUUUUCCCGCUACAGUUAAGAGAGGCGAACCGGAGGCGAGCGCUGUUCCGGCGCCAAUCCCUCCGGUUCCCCCUCUUCUCCGGUGGCCGCGUCCGUGCCGGAGAGGGAGGGGAACUGGGGAUUUGGUUGUCCGACUGUAUAGCUCCUAGUCUAGCCUAGAUUUAGAUAGAGUAGCUUAGGGUUUCUGGGAUGUCACCGGCGACCAUGUCUUGCGGACUUGUCUUCCCCAGCGGUGGCAAUGGCGACGGCACUGCUUUGGGUCAAGAUUCAAGGAGGAGGUUUGUGCUUUGGGUCAAGAUUCCGGGUUGGCGAGUUUGUCGGCGGCAGUGGAUUUGCUUUGGGUUGGUUUCCGAUUGGGCUGCUUUGGUGCUCCAUGGCGGCCUGAUGUGAACGGUUCGGUUUCUGUGGUGCUGUUGGUCUCUUCGAAAGUGUCAGAACUGUGUUCCAGAAAGUGUCAGAACUGUGUUCUGGAACACAGGAGGUGGAGAGAAGGGGUUGUUAGAUUGGGAAGCUUGACGGCCGAUGUUCGUUUACUGAGGACUUCUUGCGGCUUAUACCUUUGUGUGUCGGCUUCUUGGUCUGGAUGCGAGGUAACGACGGCGGUGGUGUGUUAUGGAGUGCAGCGAUGCAGUUCGAGGACCGAGCAACAUAAGAAGAAGGGCUUCGUUGUAAUUUCUCAAUUACCUAGGGGCCCUUUUGGAAAAAGGGAUGCACUUGUACUUGUUUCUGUUCUCUUUUAACAUGAUGUUAUCCCUUCUCGCAAAAAAAAAAAGGAAAACAAUAUUAAACCAAAGUUCAAAGGUUUAUUAGAGAUGAGGUAUUUUGUCAGGAAGAUUAAGCAAAUGUGAGUGCUUGAAUUUAAAUCGAACAGGAGACAAUGGAGAAAUCACUAUGGUACUGUAGAUGAGAUCGCUGUCUGUUGCAAAUCUUGUCUUUUGGAAACUCGGUGUUCUCAGUGAUUGGCCAGAUCUCCUUUAAUAGGGCCCAGCCAUCACAAAACUAAGCAAAUAUCUAAUGCAUGAUGUGAUCCUGAUGGUAGGAUUUAUGGUGCCCAAAAGUAAAGCAGAAUACAAAAGAAAGGCCUAGUUCACCUCCAAAUCCUAACUUUGACACUAUGCAAAAAGAAGAUUCCCCAUCACAUCAAACUUGCAGUACAUGCAUGGAGUACUAAAUGUAGACAAAAUUAAAAAACUAAUUGCACAGUUUUGUUGUACUUUGCGAGACGAAGCUUUUGAGCCUAAUUAGUUAAUAUUUGGACAAUAAUUCACAAAUACAAGCGAAAUGCUACAGUGUUGCUACAGUAAUUUUGACACCCCGAAGUUGGGCAGCUAAACAAGGCCAAAGUAUCAAAAGGAAAAAAGAUAAAGAAAAAAGAAAAAAAAUGAUUCCCAGAGAUUGAGUCGCAGUAGGUCCAGCAUGAGGCAUCACAUUCAUGUCUGCAAUGCCUUCAUUGAUGGUAGCAGCAGAGUCGCGGGCAGGCAUGAGAUUUAGGUGGCCAGCAUGCAAUAAUUCAUUAUUUCAUUUAUUAUAUAAGGACAUCUCCGUUGGCUGAGAAUUUGAGACCAGGUUUCUUGCUGCAUAAAUUCUGAGCUAACAACCGCUUGACUGCCGGUGGGGGUUGUUAUUUCACCACUGCUGCUGCUUCUGCUUCUGCUUGGCAUGAAAUGAACCACACCGACGGCAUGUGCAACCGUACCUGCAAAGUCAAACCCUCAAUUUUGCUUUUAGAAUUGGAAGUAGCAGAAGGUCAGAAAGCCUGUUUGUGACAGGGGAUACUAAAACAUACUCCUCUCUGUUUUAUUUUCCAACAUUCAUGGGCUUAUACAAAUAUGGAAACACUCUUGCAUGCAUGAAUCAUGGACACUAGCAUUCGAACGUUAUAGCGGCAGCGAUACCUUACCGCUACCGCUACAAGGUAGCGGGUUUAAGAUAACAUGUUUGGACUUAGCGGUCACUAUUAUCCACUAUUGCGGCUACUAUUGCUCAUUUUAGGCCGCUAUGCGCUAUAUUAUGGUGCAAGUGACAUAUUAAUAUGAAUCAAAUGGUAAUAAUAAUAUUUAAAAUGAUUAUUUAGGUAAUGACUAAGAAUUAUGGAUGACAAAUAAAUUUUUUAUUCAUUGAUACUAGAAUUCUGAGCAAACAACCGCUUGACUGCCGGUGGGGGUUGUUAUUUCAUCACUGUUUCUGCUUCUGCUUGGCAUGAAACGAACCAUACCGACGGCAUGUGCAACUGUACCUGCAAAGUCAAACCCUUAUAGUAGCAGAAGGUCAGGAGGCCUGUUUGUGACAUGGGAUACUAAAGCAUAAGAAUUCCUCCUUUUCUUUUCUCCGAUUACAAGUCGCGGGCAGGCAUGAAAUCAUUCUCCCCCGUGUGGUUUGUGCAAAAAUCAUAAAUGUUCAUUAAGGUUUUGAUUUCUACUAGUAGGGUUCCAUUUGUCCACAUCUCAAAAUUUCCCCAGGGCAUGCAGCAAGAACCACAUAUUUUCCCAGAUGGGCGGCUGGUUGUGAUCAUCUUGCUAAUGCUUUGUUUGUGAAUAGUGUUUGCUAAUCUUCACAUGCGCAAGCAGAUUAAUUAGCGCCAGCAGUGAUGUCAAGCAAAGUUGGUCUGACUAGAAGUGCACUUUUUCUUUAAAACCCUACAUGCAUGUGGCUGCUGAUUAGCACUUUGUUCUGAAUAAUGUCAUCUCCAUAUCCAUGGGACGUGAUCCUCCUCAUCCAAUGGUUGCCGCCGUCUUAACGUUAACAAAUGCCCGCUCCUACGUGGCACGCAAUCUCUCGGGAGAUCAUUGCAGGACGUCAGGAUCCUACGUGUCAUCCCCAUGGGCCACAGCUGGAAACGGCCUCUCAUGAACCUCCAACCAAAUAUGCCUACCUACUCACUCACACGAGCCAUCCACCUGCCCAGGUAGAAACCCUUUGACAUUGUACAGAAUUGGGCUUUCAUAUAUAAAAUGAGAUCAUGGACAUGUGGCAGUUAGGUUUGACACCCGUCCCUUCUUGAUAUUGCCCCAUGCUCAAAACUAAACAUACAGGACAAACACUAACAUUUUACUCUAUUUUUUGGGCCACCAUCAAAGCUAUUAGCUACUGGCCUGGUUUUGAACUAUUGAUUUACUAACUCAGAGUGAGAAAUAGAGAUUGUAAAUUUACUUUAUUGUAGUACUAGUACUUUUUCUAAUAGAAUCAAAGCCAUACACUCUUUUCUCAGUGUCAAUUAUUGCUAACAUUUGCAAAUAUUUUUUGAAGCAAUGCAGACCAUUCAUUCUGAUUAUAUUGCAGAGGUAGGUGAAUUCAUAAAUGAAAGGUGUGAAUUGCUAAAAGAAUUUGCAGUUGAAUUGAUAAAGAUAAUUUGAGAGUGAAUCCUCAUCUUCUUGGCCAAAAUAUACAUCAAAGUGUUUUCCUUGAUUAUAAUUUGACUUGUACACCAAACGUGACCAGGAUUACUAUACANNNNNNNNNNNNNNNNNNNNNNNNNNNNNNNNNNNNNNNNNNNNNNNNNNNNNNNNNNNNNNNNNNNNNNNNNNNNNNNNNNNNNNNNNNNNNNNNNNNNUACAAGCUAAGCUAGAACUCCUGUACAUGCGCACCAAGUUAAAGCAGCAGUGCACCAAACUGCUAACCAUGGUGCAUGGUGGGUGUCCCAAUCCAUAUUAAAAAUUCUUUGGUUUGUACAGUACUAACCACUAACCACACCCCUCCAGCAGUAGGGCCAUAAAAGAACAUCAUUUUCAGAAAUCACCAUCCAUGUAAUAACUAAGUAGCAGAUAAAAGAGCAAAUGCAUGUUUCAUCAUGCAUGCUGUCGAUCUUUAAUUUACUCCCUGAUGACACAUCGAUUUUGCUACAGUAGAGAACGCGUUUUAUUUUUGUGGUGUUGUUCCCAUCAGAAUCCUUCUUUUGUCAAAGCGAAGUUGACCCAAGCUAGGGCUUAGAGAUUUGUACUAAUGCACAGUGAUCACCAAAAGCGUGACACUUACGGCCACCAAACAGCAUGUCCCCUCUACGCCUACCGGUGGACUCUUCUCAGAAACCGGCACAUAGCCCACUGACAUGCGGGUCUGGUGGCAUCGAUAGCGUUCCCUGGUCCCAUCAUUAACACUUGGCACAAUCCUCGGCAGCGUACGUAACGAAUUUCUCUGGUUCCUGAUUUUCUUAGAUAUUUCGGAGUGUUCAUUUCACGUCACGUGCAGGUAAAAGCAAUACAGGAGUGUGGUGGUAUUUAACUUGAUACCACUUGAGUAAAAAGGCUGCAGUGUUAAUUUUGCAAACAGGACGUCAAGCUACUCUGAUUCUAGAAACAGUUUGUGUAUUUAUGGAAUACUUAUUAGACUGCAGGCACUAAAGGAUUUUUUUUUCCUUUUCUUGGGUCUCAACACUGAGAUCUUUAGAAGUGAAUAAAAUGGAGAUAGAUAGAAAUUUGUAGUUUUGAUAACCUUCUUAAUGAUGAAAACUACAUAAACUCAUAGAUGCUUACAAGGACAACCACUUCUAUUUCUUUUAAGAAAAUGUUGAUGCCAUAUCUUUACGAAGAAAUUAAAAUAAAGCACCAUCUUGUGUACUGGUGGUGGAAAUUACAAAAUUAAAUAUACACUAGUUAAAUGGCCAUGUCGUUGUUAUGUGUACCGAAAACUUUUAUGAGAUAAUAUUUGUUUUAACUAAUGAUGCUUUAAAAAUAUCGAAAAUAACUCAACAUAGAGGUGACUUAAUUUUUGAAUAAGGAUAAUAAUAAUGUUCAAACCCGACUACUUCUCUACCAACAAUUAUUUAUCAAUAACUGCCGUACCAUUCAAGACUGCAUUUUAUGCCAUUCAUGUCAUAAUUAAACACACACUAGCUACUAGUCAUUACAAUGGAACUUAUUCUGAAAUUGUCUGAAAAAAGAAUUUGGAAGAUAAUAAUACCCGUAAAAAGAUUCACCCCAUGAUUAGCAGUGGGAAAAUUGAAGCAGCAAAUAAAGGAGCUGGUGGGUUUCCCUUUCCACGCGGGGUCCAGCCCUUGCAAGCAACUAGGUGAAACCGAGGAACGUCGCUGCUGCGGUUGGCUUUCCCUCUCCGCGUCCUCCUCCUCCGCAGCAGCACUGGCCACCUCAUGCUGUCGCCUCCACUCUCUUCUCCACCACACCACACCACUCACUGGUCAAUUCUCUCGCCGCGCUCCGAUCCCCUCCCACCCCACCCCUAUUUAUGAUGGCUGAUCGUCGCCCACUACGACGAGUACCAAUCCAUCCAUCCAAUUCCAACCAUUCUUCUUCUUCCUCCUCUACUCCCUAGCUAGCCCCUGCUCCCUACUACAAGCUGCAGGCAAAGGAAUCUGCUAGCAGGAAAGCUUCGAAUCGUAUCCAUCCUCCACUACAUUUAUAUUCCGGCAUCGAUCGAUUGAUCGCCUCCCUUCCGUUUCCAUCACUGCCCUGCGUGAGUACUUGGUCAUCGGUGACGGCAAAGGGAACCGAACCCAAGACUGCUUCCUUGUUGCAUGCCGGCGGCCAUGCAGGUGAGGAUGCAUCGCUCAACUCCUCCUCCUCUUCUUUCGUCUUAGCAUGUGUGCAGAGUUGGAUCUGCCGAGUCAGGGUUCCAUGUCGAUAUCACUAAUUGCCCUGCCUCUGGUUCCUUGUUUCUUAAUUGGGGGUCUUGCCAUCGAAUUCGGCAGCUCACUGCUUUCAUGUUUCAUCAAUCACUCAUCUUGUCAGAUGAGGACCUUAGUUGCUCUGAAUUUAGAGUGUUGUUCUCAUGGUAGUCGGCAGGUCAUGUGAAAUUCUUCUGAUUUUUCGUUUCUGCUUGCAUGUUCACCACUGAAUAUAUGCAGCUUCAGCAAGCACUGAAUACUGAUCUGAAUAUUUUUUACUCUUUUCUAGGACACCACUGCACCACCAGCACAUGAACAGAAUCCUGCAUCCGACCAACGACCGCGCCCACAUCUCUCGAUCGACAUCCCGGCAUCAAACCUGACACCAACGCCGACAGAAGGCGACAUCACCCCAACCCCUACAGGUUCUUGCAGCACCAGAAGGGGGGGAAUCCCCAUCACGCCUGUUUCUUCUUCCUCCAGCACAAAAGGCGCGCAGAAGCCGCUGCGCUCGCCGUCCUUCAUGCUGAGGCAGACGGUGAAGAGCCUCCUGCCGAUGGGGAGCUUCAAGUCGUCGGUCACCAAGAGCUACGAGGCCUCCUUCUCCAAGCUCUUCAACUCCAAGUCCAAGGUCAUGGCGAGGACUUCCUCGCUCCCUUUGGACGACGUCGCAGGGGUGGAUGCUCUGUCACACUCACAACAUGCCGUUGACAACAAAUCCUCAGCAAGUUGUACCGCCGCUGUAAGAACAUAAUUUUCAUGUCAUCCAUUCUUGUAAAUUUUACUUUUUGUGAUCGGUCUCAUCGUCUGAUUUGGAUUACAUAUGUUGGUGGCAAGCAGGAACCUGCACUUCACAUAUGCCGCUCGCAGUCCCUCCCCAUGAACAUGAAGAAAUUCAACGCCAAGAGCUUCAAGAGGAUGGACUCGCUAGGCGGCAUGUACCGUGUUGUUCCUUCGACACCGAGAGCCCCAGCUGCAAGCAAUGUCAUUCCUGAUAUAGUCCCUUCAGAGUCAGGUGGGUGCUGUGCCAAGCUUGCUGUUCCUACGGCGGUCACUGAAAAUUGUUACUGACAGACUCUGCAUUCGCUCCUUCAUUCAGGGGUCGGCGAAGACGAUGGCGAGGACAUUCCGGAGGAGGAAGCCGUGUGCCGGAUCUGCAUGGUUGAGCUGUCCGAAGGCAACGACACCCUGAAGCUGGAGUGCUCCUGCAAGGGUGAGCUUGCUCUAGCGCACAAGGACUGCGCCAUGAAGUGGUUCAGCAUCAAGGGCACCAGGACCUGUGAGGUGUGCAAGCAGGAUGUGCAGAACCUCCCGGUGACCCUGCUACGUGUCCAGAGCGUGCAGCGCGAGGCGAACCGCGUCGGCAACGGAGGCAGCAGAUCAAGAUACGAUCGGUACAGGUAGCUUGUUAACAACCUUGCAGCUCUCGUCGUCAGCAUUUGCGUUCUCUGUGGAAGCAGAACACCUAAGCUAGUGCUGGAGAGUGACACAAUGCUAGUUUAUUAUUGUCGAAUGACAAAGUUUGACCAGAAAUGCAGAACAUCAUGAAAGCAGUAUUGAUUAGGAAAAAAAUGACUAAACAAAGUGAUUAAACAAUAUUUUUACCUUAUAAACAAAGUGAACAAGCCAUGCUAGGAUGCUACUAAGACCUGCAUCAUUAGCAUCUAAUCUUCAUGGAGAUAACACCUGUACCUCCAUUUUUGGAGGGAUGCAAUAUAAUAAUUAGGACACGAUUAGCUGGUUUCCUACUUUAAGCAGAUCAGACACACACGUGUCGUCAAUUUAACAUGUGAUUGAUGCAUGUGUGCUAGUGGUACACUAACUCUCAUCUGAAACUAACAAACUUGAAUCUUCAGGGUGUGGCAUGGGACACCUAUCCUCGUAAUCAUUAGCAUCCUGGCCUACUUCUGCUUCUUGGAACAAUUACUGGUACACCUUCCUCUCCUCUUCUUGCCACUUCUCUACAAUCAAUGGUUAACAAACAUAUGGUUUGCUAAUGUUUUUUUCUCUCUCCGGUACUGUGCGUGACACUGACAGGUGGGCCAUGACGGCAUUGCUGCGCUGGCGAUAUCGCUGCCCUUCUCAUGUAUCCUGGGCCUCUUCUCCUCAUUGACCACAACAAGCAUGGGUAUGACGUGACAUCCAGAAGUCAACACGCACACACGAUUAGCUAGAUGCUCUGAUUUCAGAACCAUGAUAUCAUUAGUAACGUUGCAGUGGCAAGAAGAUACGUGUGGAUCUACGCGGCAGUCCAGUUCCUCUUCGUCGUCUUCUUCACCCAUCUGUUCUACAGAUACGUAAGCGCGCAUCAAAACACUAACUUCUGAAGAGAUUACUACCGCGCACCGUAAAAAUGCUGAACCAGUGGUCUUUGCAAAAACUUCUGCAGCUCCAUUUGCAGGCCGUGAUAUCCAUCAUCCUGGCGACCUUCGCUGGGUUCGGCGUGGGGAUGACCGGGAACUCCAUCAUCGUUGAGAUACUACGGUGGAGGAUGAGGCGGAGGGCGCCUCCUACCCAGGCACGCCGUGAUCGCAGAGCGCGUGCAGCUCAGCAGCAUGCUCCGGCGUCUGAUCAACCUUCCGGGCAAUCUUCGGUUGCCUCCGGGGGACAGAACGACACCGUCACCAGCGAUGUUGAGAACCCUGCCGUCCCUCAGGCAUAGAAGAACAUAUAUAUGCACAGUUCUUUUUUUAGUUACAUGUCUAGCAGUUGUAGUUUACCUGAGAGGUUGGGGCCUUGUUUACUGUACAAAUGGGAGAAAAUAGGAAGUCUAAUUUUUUUUUCUAAUGUCAGAGAUCCUGAUCUCAUUCCACAUUCCAGUUUUUUUCUGCAGCAUGUAUGUAGUGUAGCAGCACUGAAAAGAAUCAGUGCUAAUGUCCUUUAUCAGCAUGUACUGAUGCAUGCUACCUUAUGAAAGGAAUAUUCAGUAUGCAGUACUUCACUUUAUGGUGUAUAAAGGUUGUUAGACAUAUGUAUGCAUCCUGUUAGAAAUCUGAAGGAAAACAAGUUUGUUUGGCAUGCUUUUGGCUCCUGAAUUUGACCGGGAGUUAUGUCACAGCACUGACAAAGAGGACUUUCAUGGGUCGUGCCACAAGCUCUGUGCACGGCAGGUCAUGUGUACAAAGUGUUCUCAUUACAACACCGACGAAAUUCGUAGGCAACUUUGCCAGCCAAAAUUGGCAAAUUCAUAUCUCUACAGUUGCAAAACAGUCACAUCAGUUAGAAAGAAAUAAGUACAUACAUAAGUGAUCCUUGUACAAUUGCAAAACCGUAACCCCGUACCAAGUUUAUUGCAGAUACAUAGUGGUUCAAACCGUGACAAUAGCAAGGUACUAAAUAGCAUUUAGUGAUACGGCAGCGGAUUAGUGCUAGUGUAGCAGAUCGCGGAUAGCGGGUGCUAUAGCGGAUGCUAAGUCCAAAUAGCAGAAUUCAAAAAAUAAUCACAAAUUUAGAGCAUAUAUGAAUAUUAACAUCUAGUUUACAUAAAAAAAGUUAAAAGUAUUAAGUUAGCCAUUACAUUUCACAGUAAGAAUUACAAAUAAAUAGAUAUAAUUAAGAUGUAUAGAUAUAUAUAUUAACAUUAAAUUCUCAUAUUAAUGAAUAAAGUUUAUUUGUCAUCUCAUAAUUCUUGAUCGUUACCUAAAUAAUUAUUUUAACAUUAUUAUUACCAUUUGAUUCAUAUUCAUAUGUCACUUGAACCGUAAAUGUAGCGAAUAGCGGCUUAACAUUAGCUGGCCGCAAUAGCAGUCAAUAGUGAACAAUAGUGGCUGCUAAGUCCAAACAUGCUUUCUUUGAUCUGCUACCUUGUAGAACAGUCACUAUUGCGGACGCUACGAAUGAUAUUUAAUACCUUGGACUGGAAGCAUUCAUACUCGUUUUCUCACCCUCACGGAGGGCAUUCAACAACUCAGAUAAAGCUUACGAACUACGAAGUCACAAAGCCCAGAGAGAUCAUUUUUUUUUGAGAGAGAGGAAGCCCAAAGAGAUCUAGGCAGUAGUAAAAGAAAACGCGCUUCUUCGCCUUUUCUACCCCACAGCAUGGCCCAUUGAAAAUUUAAAAUUGGAGCCAAUGGGCUUUUAAUCCAUUAUUGAGGCAUGGAUAGCUCACUUGUUUUGUUAGCAGCGAGCUGCCUGGAGCUUGAACUUGAGCUGGUUUCUUUUACUCGUUUCCUUAAUGACCCAAGAGCUAAGAUAAUCUCAUAACAUUAACAAGCUUAUGAGCCACGUUGGCUCGCUCUCCAGCCGGCAUUGCAAAAAACGUUUAUUUUAAUCUCAUAUGCUUGGAAAUUGGUUAACAGGUAUUAAAAAAAGAUAAAACUUUAAUCUUUAUGGGGUGGUAGCCUUAUAUGGGCUAUUUGAUGUACACGUAACGAUUUAGUGUUUGAGAAAAAAUGUUUUAAUUCAUUUAUGCAGGUCAUUUUCAAAGGAGCAUAUUGGCUGCGGUUUUGAUCCCCGUUGCAGAAUGAGGAUACAAGGGAGAUCAUCUGUUAGCAUCAUGGAAAUAGGGGUCCCUCGAGGAGGCGCUUGACAAAGGGGCCUACCCGUAAGGAGGGGCUCCUGCCUCAUGAGGCCCAAACGAGGAGAUAGGCCGAGGAGUCUGAGGCCCUGGGAAGGCAAGGAAAAUAUCGCUCCUGCCUAGCGGGACCUACAUGUGGUCCACGUGGAGGGAGCAGGCCACACCCUGGAAGGCCUCCCGGGGGAAGGCUCCCUUCGAGGCAAAGCAAGUGGUGGUGUAUCCUAGCAUGGGAAGGGCACGACAGUCGAGGUAGGCCGUCAGUAGGCACCCCAUCGUCUAAAAACACCAUCAUUAUGGUUGAUGGGACGCGCAUGGGUACCUCAAGGACCGAUGGCCUCACCUAUCUCGUGGAUCCUCGCACAGGGGCACGAUGGCCUCCGGUAGGAUCCUCGUCGUUGGAUCCUGCACCUCCACGAUCAGCAUAAACAGCUCCGAGAUUUCCGUCUUGGAGAGGUUUGUGCCCGCCCCCUGUAGGGUGCGUGUCGUGUCAUUGUCGUCGGUGUAGAACCACGCCGAGCGGACCCGCGCGCACAAGGGCGUAAGGCGGUGGUGGAGGAAGUCUGCCACCACCAUGGUUGAUGUAAGCCUAGCCUGCCGAAGUUGAGCAAUCCGGUCCAGCACCGGCUGCCACACUUUGCCAAGGACCGGCAAGGCAAACCACAUGUCAGGGACGGCAACCGGGGGUCAGGCCGGAAGGCAGAGGCGCUGGUGGGACACGAUGUUCAUGUGCAGCCACCGUCUCUUCUAGUCCUCCUCUUGUCGCGGAGGACAUGGUGAUGUACUCCCCCUCGCGUGCGGCCUGAAGCUUGAAGAAGAACACCCCCACCACACGAGGAGCACUACCGGCCGACACGCUUGGACAUUGGAGGUAGAAGAAGUGGCGGAAGAGCUCGAUGGAGGGCCACACACCAACGAACAUCUUGCACAGAUGGGCAAAGAUGGCUAGUGUGAGGACAUCGUUGGGCGUGAGGUGUAGCAGAUGCACCUGGUACUCCUCUAGCACGGGGAGGAAGAAGGCGGAGAACGGAGGAAUGAGCUUGUAGAAGAAGAAGGGGAGGAACAUGACCACCUCCCUUGGCUCAUCAGGGGUCACCGGAUCCGUCGCCCCGCGGAUCGUCGUGCCACUAUCCGGCCCAACCGGAGGAAGCAUCGCCUGGAUCCGCUCCAGGGCGUCUGCGACCAUGAUUGUGGAGCGCCAAAGGUGGGCAACCCGAGGGUCACGCUGCGGUAGCGGAGGAGCGCGGCGGCUGGAGCGAUCACUCCUGGCCAUGGCAGCAAGCAGAGGAGCGGUUGAGACGAUUGAGGUGAAGGAGGCAAAAGGUUGAAGAUGACAAGUGGAGAUGAAGGAAGCCCUAAGGGCUCGCACAUGCGGUCUUAUAAGGCAGCAUGCGUGGCGGCUAGACUUCGAGAAACAACCGUUGAAGAAUAAGUGCGGAGGGUUCCUAGAAUCUAGGGGAAUCCCAACCAAAAGCUUGAGUGAUGGUCCCGAGGCACAGACGGAACGUCAAGAGGAGGUCCCCUUUCUUCUACUGGGCCCCAAACCUGACCUGAAGGGAGACAGUCCGACAUAGGGUCGGGGGCUGCUGUCAAAUCCAUGAGAACGGGGUUCCUCGAGGAGGUGCUUGACAAAGGGGCCCACCCAUAAGGAGGGGCUCCUGCCUCAUGGGGCCAAACAAGGAGAUAGGCUGGGGAGUCUGAGCCCCGGGCAGGCAAUGAAAAUAUCGCACCUACCCAGCGGGACCCACAGGUGGUCCACAUGGCGGGAGAAGGCCUCCUAGGAAGGCUCCCUUCGAGGCGAAGCAAGCGGUGGCGUAUUCUGGCAUGGGAAGGGCAUGAUAGUCGAGGUAGGCCGUCAGCAGGUGCCCCAUCCCCGUACGUAAAGAUACUAUCAUUACAGUUGAUGGGACGCGCCUGGGUGCGUUAGGGACCGACAACCUCACCCAUCCCGUCCAACAGGCAGCGAGCUCCACCCUUGUGUCAAGAGCGUCCCGCCAUGCUCCUGGCUGCCCUCUGUUAAAGAGGCGGGCCCACAUUGAGGACCCAGGAGGUGGAAAAAGGCCUCCCGGGGACACUGUCAAAAGGAAGGCCCCCACACUUAGGGCCCAAGAAGCGGCGAAGGGCUCCCGGGAAGGUCCCCGAGAGCCAGAUUCAGUGCUCCCCGUCCCGAGAUGUUGGGCUCGGGAUGAUAAAAGUAAGGAUUACCAAAGUAAGAUGGUAAAAUAUGAGAUUGGUGUACAGAGGACUUAGGCAGGGUGCUCCAGCGCCGUGCGUACCAAGGCAAGGAAGCAUCAAGGCAAAUGGAUGGCGUGUCAGAGGAACUGUAGCAAGGAGGGCAGCUAUUGGGCCGCCGUGUUCACACACACAGUGUAAAUGGAUGGAUUGGGGAACAAGGCUCGCCUCAACUCGUCCCAUGGGCCUGGCCUAUAAAAGGCCGGCUCUUGUCCAAAAAUUGACAAACAACUCUAAACAACAUAACACACAUAACGUAGGGUAUUACGCUUCCGAGCAGCCUGAGCCUAAAAACUCUCUCUGAGCAUAAUCACACACUAACUCCCCCCCCCCCAACGCUUCUCGAAUCCAUACGCACGAACUAACCCAGACUGGAUCUCUAAGGGGUCCCAUGGAUCCCCGCUCUCGGUGCUUGACCACCGUCAGCAUCUGUUCGUCACUAGAGAUCGUCGCUUUGGAUAUAUUCGUGAAGAAUAGAUGGAGAAACAAUAAUAGACUAUGCUUUUAAAUUUUUCAUGCUCUAUGUGUACCUAUUUCUCUAUUUUUUUGUGUUCAGCUUCUAAGCUGAGGAUGAUAUAAGAAUUUGGCUGUGUGAGGUCAGAGAGACCGUAACUUUUUUCCUUUAUCUAAGAAAAUCCAGCCGUACCGCUGCUUUGAAGCGCUCGUUUCCUGUGCGGGUGAGCUCCCUACUAAAAAAUAAAGAAUUCCUUGAGCACUAAAUUUUGAAUUGUUCUAGCGACCGACAAUCUUUUUUUACCCAAAGCAUAGAAUGAAAUGUUCCCUGUGCCUAUUUUUUGCAACCUCAACUACUCUACUCUUGUAUUAAGUUUUUUUUUUCCUUUUGGAGAUUUAGGGUUGAGAGAAGCAAGAAGAGGCACGAGCAUUGAGCAGUGAAGGCCUGAAGGACAAAACUCUGGACCAUUCUUUUUUUAAAAGCCUUUCACUUCUCAAUCCUUCCUUUCUGAUGUCUACACAGUCUUAAUAAUUAAUAAAUACAAACAACAUGCACCAACAAUCAGUAAAGAAGGUAAAUGUAGCAUUGGAGCAGUAGUAAAAAGAUUAAUGUUAGCUGUGGAUGAUGAAUGGAGACACACACCAAAAUAUUCUUUCCUUUGCGAUGCAGUCAAAGGUAGGGCCGAUCGACCGACCGGUUAGCCACACACACACGCAGUACCUUUUGAGCGAUCGAUUCCUAAUUUCCCAUGCUGUUCAGUCCACUUUGCAUCCAGACACACGAUUAGCCAAGACUCUGUUAAUUAGCCAAGUUCCUACUUCAGUGCAUCGCUCGUAUAGUCGUAUGCCAUGGAUUUUGUGAGAGACUCCUCCUGUAGCUUCUGCUGCUUCUUCUUUUUCCAGUGGCAUAUAUCUGCGUAUGAAUCUGAAGAAACCCUCUGGAGCAAGAAACAUAUACGCAGCAGUACAUGCUUUGGGCAGAGGCUCAAGCCUGGAAUAAUCGAAUCGCUUGCGCUGAGGUCUCAAGUUUCCCCUUCACGCACGCCACCACGCAUCGCCAUCUUCCAAUGGUUUUGUUGUGCCCUAUAUAUACGUGCAUCCGGAUCAGAGCCAGCUUCAUCGAUCACAACUGCAUUUCAUCGAUCGAGUUACCUAUCGAUUUUCUGCUCCACCACCACAUUACACAAUCAAUGGCUUCCAACAACAACGCCGUCGCCGCCGAGGUGAGCACCGCCGUUGCCAAGCUCAACGACCACCUCGCCGCCGCCCUCACCGGCGCCAACGACGAUGCCGCCACCAACACCAUCAUCACGCUGGCGGGGGAGAACAGCGGCGCCACCAUGGACGCCUCCGCCGCCGCGGGCGACGUGGAGGACCUCGUCGUUGUCGGCAACGCGGACGCCGAUGAGGACAACGACAACCAGGAAGGAGAGCAGGAGGAGGACGUGGUGAUCAGCGCCUACACCAACAGCAACUAUCAGGCCGUCAACAACUCGGUGCUCGUCUCCGGCAGCUGCGCCGUCAACGACCCCGGCGUCCACGUCGUCGUCGUCGAGCACGUCGACGAGAUUCGCGACUACGACGACGACCUCGACGCCCAAGAGUUCUAAGCCCCAGCUGCUAGCUAGCAGCUAGAGGUGGUCAUUGCAAAUGGCUUGGUCGUUUGAUGAGCAAACUAACAGUGAUUUCUUCAGCAUCAGUACUACGUAAAUGAUGUUCUAAAAGUCGAUGAUGAGGUGAUCCAUGGGAGUUACGUACAUCACAUAUAUUGUAUCCAUGCAUGGCAUAUAUCUAUAUAUUCUGAGUUCGUUUAUUUUAUUUAAUUUGCAAGACUUUGGAUUAAUUUCUUGCUUUAACUGGUUCAUGUGUUAAUUAGUACUAAAUGUGUUGUGUUUGCUGGAGUCGGUCGACUUUAUUUGCACUGGUACCACUACUGUAAGUUUCUUGAAACCAUCACACACACACACACACAUACACAAGGUUUUGCAAAAAAAAAAAAGAAAAAAAGAACCAUCAACCAGGCAUCGAUUUAGCGGUCACCGACCGUACCAUUGCUACUUGAUCCCUUCAUCAUCUGGAUCCCUAAUAAUUGAAGCUAAAACAAAUCAUGCUCAACCAAUAAUUAUGUUGGGGGGAGAGGAGAAUCUUAGGGAGAGAUAGUGAUGAAGCAGUUCGGCUACUGGGAUCCCACCGGACGGCGCCGUCAAGAGCAAUCAUAUGUGCAUCAUCGAUUUUAGGAUCCGUUUGAUGUUUCAGGAAUUCAGGUGACCCUAGCAGCUCCUUUUCAAUCCCCAACUUUUACCAUACCUCACGCAUAAUUUCUUCUGGUUCCUUACUUUUUUCACCUUUUCUAUUUUAUUUCUUUCUCCAGUAUAAUGUGGCACCCGUUACAACCAAAUGUUUGACAGCGGUUCAUAAUCUUAAUCGACAGCGGGUUCAAGGAUAAUCUUAGCCUCUUAGGUCCCGUUCGACAUGGCUUAAUUAUAUGCCAUUUCGGUUUACUAGACAUGCAUGCAUACUGUAGCUGAGCCAUUUUCCAAAAUGAUUUGAAAUGUACUCAAAUAAGGGGUGAGGAACACCUAAAACGAAACAAUUCGCGCUUCCGGUGUCAACUUCUCAAAGGCUUGCAAAUUAGAUCCCUUAUGUUGUGAGGCUUGCGAAUUGGGUCAAAUUCUGAAAAAUCUCUUAAUUGACAGAGGGUUCGAGGAUACUUCUUUUUUUUAGUAUGGUCCCCGCAAGGAAAAAGGACCUGCAACUGCGAAUCCCUGCAUGCUCGCCUUCGGUUGCACAACUGCUAAUCUUUUUAAUUUUUUCCCCACAUGGCCACACUGCAACUGCGACGCAUUUCUAGCUGGCCGGAUUUCAUUUUGGUAGACAAAGUUUGUGGCACGAUCACUCGGAGUAUUAAGAAGAAGAAAGUCACAAUCUGAAAUAACACGCAUGCCAUAGGGAUCGCAUCAGCAUCGAUGAUCAGCAUGAGCGCGAGCAAUAGCUUAGGGUGCUCUACUGUUACAUUAGUAGCCAGGUGGAUGCAUGCCUGUAAAUAAAAGAUCAUAUCAAGCUGAUCGACCUGAAGAUCACCCACACUAGUAGUGAACUGAUCUGUCUGUCCAUCAGCCCGUGUGGUCCUGAAUUAGGACUGCUAAUCCCCCAUCAUUAGACCCACUGCACAUUGAGUUUGAGAGAUGGCCUCCUAGCUACCUUAAUCAUAUGAUCCAUCACUACCCAACACUUUUGUGUUCACAAAUUUAAUUUGCACUGCUGGUUUGUAAUUCUCUACUGCAAAAGAAAUCUAGCUAGCACAAAUAUGAAAAUCUGAAAAAAUAAUAAAACUAUUUCUCUUUCAACUCGCAAUUUGGCACUGUUGAGUUUUAUGAUUCUUUUGCGAUUGUGUAAGGGGGUUCUGUACUUUUGUACUUUUCUUACCAUCAAAAGUAAAGUUACACAAGUACAUCAAAGAACUUUCUGUUCGAGAUCCCGAGCUUUGGAAGCAGGGAAAAUUUUGAAUUCCCAACUCGAAGCAUCUCUUGCUCUAGUAGAUUUUGUUGACGCAGAAUCUGGACCUCAAGCUUUUGUGUUGAACAACAUGGAGGACCUGAGAGAUCGGCUUAACUCAAAUGCAGGUUCCAAAUCGGCUCGCGAGUGGUGCAAGGCGUGCCAGUCAAUUUGACCUGCAAUUGACAAGGUAAACGUAAAAUUCAUGAGCCGAUAGGCGGCGAAGCCUUCGAGCUCAUAAGUAGGCGUUCUUUGAAUAAACAUCAUUAAGAUAUAUUUGAUGUAAUCAUGCGGUCUAAAUAAACAAAACAUUAAUAACUGUGCCAUCGGCUAUGUCAGCCAACGGGCUAAGAUAAAGCAUUAUAACACAACAGCCAUAAAACAAAGCCCUUAUUAACCACUCGCUUAUCAUAUAAGCUAACAGAUCUAGCCAAUGUCUUGAUAUGUGUAUUGAACUCAGACAGGUAAGAGGGCAUUGGUAUCAAUUUACUAACUUAAAAGAUUAGAACAUAGCAACAAGGAUCAGUCGAUGCUGACUGUACACAAGCUAGAUACAUUAAUAGAUUUUAAUUAAUAUCUUAAUAAGUGUAUUGAACUUAGACAAGGCAACAUGAAUGAGAGGGCAUUAACCUCGAUCUGACAAUAUAAAAGACUAGAGCACAAUCACUAAAAACCUCUUGCCUACCGUUUGCAAACUGAUUAAGGUAACAAAAUCUAAUCAAUGUCAUGACCGUGUAAUUGAACUUAGACAAGGUAACACGGUAAGAGGACAUUAAUUUCGUCUCGUUAAUCUUAACAGACAAUCUCGCGGUAGUAAGGCCUCGUAUGCAUGCCUAUCGGCUCAAUGAUGUCAUCAUGCUUCUGUGAGAUACGGAUAAGACCCGUUCGAAGCAUCGGCUCUCAACAUACGGUUAGCAAUACGAGGGGCAGGGGUAAAGAUCUAUUGGACCUACAUGUAAAACAAGAAAGGCAUGCAAGAUCCACCAAUCGAUACGAUCUGAUAACUAUGAACGUUUAAACAGGGUAAGGGAACCGAUGAAGACAACCUAACCAGAUCUAAGCCGUUCGAUAACCAUAAGUAACAUCGAAGACAAGCAUAAUAUUGGACAAAGUUUAGAAAGUUCUACUUGCGACUAAGUUAACUCGAUAACUAGCUACGUGAUCGAAUAUCAGAAUAUAAGACUUAACUUAGAAAGUUCCGAUAGAGAUUGUAAUGACCAGGUGAUGGUACUUACAGGCUUGUCUGAGAUCGAAACCGUUGCAACCCUGCGCGCAAAAAGAAAUUCGUCAGGAAGCUACUUUACUCCUACUCCUAAGGGUUGGCGGCGUGGCGCAGAAAGAUUAUAUUGAUUGAUUGAAAGAUUACACUUUACAAGCUUUACGGGUACAUAUUUAUACUCUGAAACUAACAUAACCAAACUUGACUAGCUACUAUAGAAAUCUUAACUAAACAAAGGAAAUAUUAAGAUACACGGACUCUAUUUUCCUUAUGUAGAAUCCUCGCUGGUCAAGCUUCCUUGCCCGGCUCAUCCGCAAAAAAAAACUGAUCCGCAUGCAUGAUUAACCGGACUCCUUCAACGUGGCGCAUGUAAAGUAAACCAACAACCAUGCCGUAUCCUUCCUUUGUUUAUUCUAAUUAUCUUCGCAUGCAUGUGCUGGCUCUAUCUUCUUUGCAUGCACUUUCUUUAUUUAGCUUGUCUCUCCUUGGCCGAUCCCAUCAAAUUAAUUCUUGUAUUAACCGGUCCUCAAUUAGACAUGGUAUUUUAUCGGCCAAAAUCCGGUGUCAAUAGAUUUAUCAUCGACUCAUCGAGUAUUGAAAUUGUUUCAUCGAAUUUCAAACUUUCAAGUUCAGGUUCUAGGACAUUUGAAGUUUUUAAAUGGGAACUUGGAAUUCUUGAUUGCCAAAAUAUAUAAAUUUUGAAUUCCACUGUGCAUUUAGAUAAGUCAAACUUUAUAUAUUUUUACGAAUAUUUAGUUUAAUUAUAACUAUAUUUAGUGUAUAAAGUUUGUAUAGUUCAAGAUACUUUUCAUAUAUAGUACAUUGUUCUUUUAAGCUAUAAAUAAUACUCUAUAAUUGUGAGAAAACAGUCUAACUUUAUAGAAUAAAAUAUUUCUCACAUUCUUAAACGAAGCGAUUACUGCUGGACAUCAAGCAUUAUCCUAGUUCGAAUAACAUGAUUAAACAUAAUACGCAUGAACCAUAUUUUUAAAAGAAUAAACACAGGGAAAUAUUAAAAUAUCUAAAAAAUUUCCCUAUCAAAUAUAAUUGGUUGAUUAGAUUUAUGCGUAGCAAAAUACCAAGACAUAUCCUCAUACCCAAAAAAGGCCCACACAAGAUUUAUGGGUAGGCAGCAGAAGAAGCAUCAAGCUUAUUGCCAAUCAUCAUUAACAAGAUAAUAAACUGCUACAGUGUUAAUUUCACGGCUCUGCUUGGAUGCACUCACUAUAAAAUCCAUGGCAUCGCAUCCUCCCUCCUCGCACCACUCCACUGCAAAGGCGGAGCAGUUCCACUGCCGCUCACCACGCACGACCGAUCGCCAUGGCCGGCGGCAACCUCAAGAACUUGGUCAUCGCCUUCCUCGUCCCGCUCCCCUCCAUCCUCUUCUACCUCUCCUUCGUCCGUCCCGGCGGCAAUGCCGACGCCGGCCCGCUCUCCUCGUGGUGCGCCGAGCACCCGCUCCUCCUCGCCAACGUCCUCUUCUUCCUCAACGUCAAUGUCCUCUUCUGGCUCGUCGGCCUCCUCCUCUCCAACCACUGGGUAAGCACUAGUCACCCCCUCUCCAAUCCAGCACUUUCUUUGCUUAAUGCCCCCCGGCGUUUUGUUUCGUUCCCCUGCAAAGCACUUUUACCUGCAAUGUGUUCGACGAAAUGCCGACUAAGUUUGUGCUGGCUGUCACCCCCUGUUGCAUUGCAGCUCAUCGACCUGUACUGGACCGUCAUCCCGGUGAUGCUGCUGCACUACUACCGGGGCCACCCGGCGUCCGUGACGGAUGCAGUGAGGUCAGCAGUGGUCGUAGCGCUCACCUGGGUGUGGAGCGCCAGGCUCACGCACAACUACCUGCGCCGCGAGGGUUGGGAGUUUGGCAAGAGGGAGGACUGGAGGUUCAAUGAGAUGCGGGGACAGUACGGCAAGACCUGGUGGUGGAUGUCAUUCUUUGCCGUCUACCUCUCCCAGCAGGUAUUGGCUCAAUUCAUAAAAUUUCUCAGUGUAUCUGAAGAAAUGACAAUCUAGCUAUGAACAUUCAUGGUGGACAGUAUCUUAAUCCGAAUUCCAAAUCACACGUUUUUUUGCUGGCAGGUGUUCCUGAUCAGCAUCUGCCUGCCCAUGUACGCAAUCCACUCCAGCAACCAGCCAUGGGGCAUUUGGGACGUCGUGGCCACAGCCGCCUGCAUUGCCGGAAUUGUCAUCGCUCACUUCGCCGAUACCCAGCUUCACAAGUUCGUGACCAAGAACGAGAAGCUGAAGCAGCUGGGCGAGCCAACUGUCCCCACCCUCGAGGACGGCCUGUGGUGGUACUCGCGCCACCCCAACUACUUCGGCGAGCAGCUCUGGUGGUGGGGCCUGUAUCUCUUUGCCUGGAACCUGGGCCAGCAAUGGAUGUUCGUGGGGCCCCUCGUUAACACCCUUUGCCUUGGCUAUGUCACCGUGCUCGUGGAGAGGCGCAUGCUGAAGCAGGAGCACCGAGCUGAGGCCUACAAGCUGUACCAGAAGAGGACCUCUGUGUGGAUCCCCUGGUUCAGGAAGUCUGUCCCAGAACUGAAGCAGAAGGAGACCUAAUCUCAUGUUGUAGUUUACUAUUUGGGUCUUUGCCCCUUGUCCAGGUUGUUCACCAUGCUGUUGUUCCAUCCUGUAAUGUCGAGUACUUGUCGUUUCAUCCCUUUGUGCAAUUAACUGUGCAUGAACUGUACUAGCUUGUAUCAUGAUCACCUGUUUAAGGUGUAAAUUAAUAAUAAUGUAUCUACAAUGAUCUGCCUAAUCUCAAGCUUGCUUCCUGCUCAUUUCAUCCAUCAGAAGGAACAAAUAUAUUGAUCUAGACUGAGAUCAGAUCAUGCUUUCCAGCUGGGACUGCAACUUGGAUUAUCAAAUCUGAUCAGUUACAUUCUGGUCAUAUACUCACAUCCACCCUUUUUUCCCAAUGUUGACAGGACAAAUGUUUAUACCAAUGUUAUCAAAUGUUUAUAUCAAAUUUGGUCAUAUACUUGUAUCCAUUUUUUUCCUAAUAUUGACAUGAAAAAUGUUUAGAUCAAAGAUAUCUACAUAUGUAGUCAAUUUUGUUUCUCUGCUGCAAACCCCUUCUCGUCAGUGAUGCUCUUGGUUGGUUCUAUCAUUUCAGACUCCUGGUCCUGGACCAUUAGAACCUGCAGCUCUAUCAGGAUGAAGCUCUUCCACCGCCUUCUGAAUGCCAGUGCCUGGUAUGUAUUCCCAUGCUUUUCUGGAUAUUUGAAAUCAAAUAUGGACCUACCGACUGUUACUUGCCGCCGUUUGCUCUGAUUCCAGCGUUAUGUUCCUGUCUGCCACGGUGCAUAAAGUGGCAAUGGAGACAUAAUAGAUGACGUAUUGCAAUUGCUCGGUGCAAUUAGUUUGUAGCUAAAAAUGUAAUUACGGCUUUCAGUAUCUGGAUGUAUGGUCAUAGUUUGUGCUGGGAUUAAGUGAAAUUUUAGUUCAAAUAUUUCACUAUAUUGCCCCUAUCUAUACAAGGCAUUAGGCGAGUACUGACUUCUGAGUAGAUUAAACUGAGCUGAGGGGCACUACAAGAAUUUGGCAGAUGAAUAUUACGAUGAUACCCACCCAGAAAAAAGUUAGGAACAUUCGAUUCCUCUCCGAUGAACACCCAACUUUUUAAGGACUAUAAUCAAGAGCAGCGCCUUUAAACUUGUGUUAUAUGUGUUAUAGUAGAAUUGAAUGAUUACACGGUUACUUUGCAGCGUUGUUUAUCCCCAGCCAGCUGCUGCAUAUGCUUGCUUGGCCGAAAAGAAGAGUGGCGUGCAGCGCAGCCUGAAUAUACAAGUUGAUGAAAGAGGCCGGCCGCAUGAAGCACUUUUACUUUUGGUUGGGUUGAUGAUCUUUGUAUCAUUAUCCGAGCUGUUUGUUCAUCCAUGGGCCCCCAGAUCUCACCAAGCUAUUACAACUCUAAUAUUUCCCAUUACGUAUUCAACACACAGUUGCUAAGCAGCGGGGUAAACUAUUGUAUGCUGCUCAAUCCAACUUGAUCUGCUUUUGGCACGCAAUGAUGCUUUGUCAACUUUUUGGCCAACGGGAAGAGAAAGCCACCACCGUUCGGCAUUCUGAAACUCCGAUUGAUGCUUCUGUUCUUUGAGUUCAUGGUCCUGUAAAUAGUGUCUGAUACUAACCAUACCAAGCUUCUUUUCAUCCCGGCUACCAACCUAAUUGUUUUCAGCUCUGAGCUAUCCAUUUUUAUGCCAGCGCUAUUAUCUAAGUAAAGAUUAAAAUUCAAACAUCCAUUUCCACUGUUGUACUUCACUUGUAUGAGAAACUACUGUAUGCAGUGAUGCAGUGGAUUUCAGUUUUUGCCUGCGCCAUUCUGUUUGUCUGUCAGUUUUAAUAUUAUGCAGCUUAACCAACAUAGCACGUUGCCCUCAAUGCUCUGGGCGUUCUGUAUGAGAACUACUUACAAAUUUUUUCGACCAAUCAAGAUUUUUUUUACAAAAAACAAAAUAAAAUAAAAUGCACAGACCACAGUUAAGCAUCGAUCUCAAAACAUGAGUGCGUGCAGCCUGCACGAUUUGGACCAUAUGUUGCAGAAACUUCCUCUACCCACUGGUCAUCUCUGUUUCCAAUUGAGCAAUUGCUUCAACGCCAGGAUUACUGUUAGUAUCAUAUCCUAACGAGGUAAGUCUUGGGCUCACAUCUGAGUGGUUGCAAUCAAAGUGUAGAGUUGUCGACACAGAUAUGACAUGCAUUAUGUAUAAUAAGAGCUCUUUUACUGCACACAAUACUACUACUUAGUGGUAUAUAAAGUAGGACCUUUAUAUAUAAUAAUGAACUAUCAGCCUUCAAUGCCAAAUGAUGCUAGGAGAGGUGCAGGGGGGAUCCGCAGGGCAAAGAUACAGCUUGAGGAGCGAGCCAUUGCUGAGGGUGCUUUGGAUGAGGCCGCUCCAGAGGACGAGUCACUUGCUGCAGCAGAGGCACCUAUGCCAGCUUACCUUCCCACCGACUCAGAGGACUCCGAUGAGGAUAAGGACUACAUGCCUACUGAGCCUACUUUCACACUCCAUCGUGCUCAUGACGAUGAAGCAGGGACCUCUCUUUCAGGACAACGUGUGCCAGCACCGGCAGUUCCUACAGUCAAAGCAGCACAGGUAACUUAGCCUGAUACUCUCACUGCUAUACUUCAAUUUUUAGCUCAGGGGCAGCAAGCUAGUGAGGAGACGCAACAGCAGAUGCGGGCAUAGUUAGCUCGCCAGUAGGUAAUACUUGAGGGCAUUCAACAGCAGAUGAUUAACUUAUAGAUGUUCACUUUCUUUUCUAGCUUCUUGGGACAGUUGUACCAUCACACAGGCCUUGAGGCUCAUCCAGCUCCUACUUCUCAGCAGCUUUAGCACGACCCUAUGGCUCCUCCUCCAUCGAUUGGCGGAUUUGUGUAACCCUUGGCUACCUUCCUAGUCUCGCCACUUCUUCAAAUAGGGAUGUUCUAACUUCCACAAUCGAAGGCACAGUGUGACCAGAAAGAGUAGUCCUUCCUUGACCAGCUUUAGCAGAAUUAAUUCUCCAGUCAACUUCAGUCAACUCAGGUGCCUGCUUCAUUCUCAACAGCACCACUCACCUUUGAGCAGACACCGCAGCCUUUUCUCACUGGUCCGAGGUCUAGUUCUCCUUUUUCGUCCUUUGUGACACCUCGGUCCAAGGGGCUUGACACGACCGAUGCCACUCUUCGCGCUAUCACUCAGCAGAUUGACAUAAAGAUGGCUUCAGGGGUUGAGGUGACAGUUUCUCAGGGCGACACCACCGUUUCUACUUCUUCUGCUCCUGUCACCAUAGUUGUCGCUACUUCAGCUCCUACUUCUUCCACUUCGUUCGCCCCGAGGGCUCUCCUACAGCUUCGUUCUUGAGGGCUCUCCUACAGCUUCGUUCUCAAGCUGACCCCGUUCGUCCCGAGGGCUCUCCUACAGCUUCGUUCUCGAGCUUCGAUGACGAUGACGCUAACAUCUUGGGCUACGUGAUGCAGCCCUCUGGAGCACCUGCAACCUCUUCACCAUCUUUUCCACCCCAACAGGACUAGAGCUUUUAGGUCUCCUUUUUAGUGCAUCAGUGCCAAAGGGGGAGAUAGAUAGGGGGAGUAGAGAUAGGGGGAGCUUGGAGGGAGUGUGUUGUUUCUUCUGUGGAUCUUCAUGUCUAGACAUGUUAUUUUGAUCUUGUGCUUGUUGGUGUGUUGACAUGUCUACUCAUGUGUGUGGUUUACUUUCAGUUAAUGCUUGUGUGCUUGUUUACCUUCUCUAUAUCUUGUCAUGCGUUAAUUGUGUUGAAAUGUGCUUUAGAUUAAAAUUCUGUAUCUCUACUUGUUGUGUUGUCAUCUAUCACCAAAAAGGGAGAGAUUGAAGCACCUAGGCCCUUUCGCACCUUUGAUAAGGGUGUGUUUUGGUGAUAAAUGAUAACCAUUUACUUGUGACUAACCCAUGUGUUUUGAAGCGAAUCAAUAUUGGUUAUUAUGUCAUGAGUUAAAUGGAAAUUGGCCCCUCAAUUUGAAUUAUCAUGCAGGCUAAGGGCUAAUGCGACAAGGCUAAGGACCUUUCUAUGAUGAAGUGUCACAGGGAGAUGAAGGACACUUAGUGUAAUAUAAGCUUUGCUAGUUUGUAGCACUUGGACCGUACUAUUAAGAGGGGUUUCAAUGUUAGUAGCUUGAUAUUGUGAAACUAACCACGAAAAUGAUGCAUACUCAGCAUUUUCUAGAACUUGGUAGCUCAAUGAACUCAAGGAAGUAUUCAAGAAGCGAAGAAAUUGAUGGAAAACUCAAAGGUGAUUGCAUUGGAUGAGUGAAUAUGAAAAGGGACUGUCGGAUGUUCCGACGCCCUAAUUCUUAGAUGCGUCGGAGCAAUUUUUCAGAGGUGAAAAACUAAAGGUCAAAAUCAGUUGCUUCGAUGGUAGAGCAUCGGACGAAUAUUGCGUAGCACUAGAUGUUUCGAUGCUAUGUCAAGAAGACUGUUGCAGCAAGCAUGUGUUCUUUGCAAAUUUCCAAAGAGGUUUUGACAAAAAUACCUUUAGCACCGGAUGUUCCAACACCUGUCAUGUGACCAUUGGAUCAAUGUUUCGGAGCAAGUAUAGUUUCUUUGAAAACUUCCAGAGAGGUUUUGACUAGAACCCCUUUAGCACCGGAUGAUCUGACACUACUCAGGAGACCAUCGGAGCAUUCACCGGAGCAACAUUUCAUUGUUACUUUUGUAACGGUCAUAUUUUGAAGAUGUGAGUGACCGAAUGUUCCGACACCUUGGGGGAUGGUCGAUGGUGUGCUUUUCUGCAAGCACUUUUUUAACGGCUAGCUGCAGUUGCCUAGCCUAUAUAUACCCCUCCCCCAGGUCAUUUGAGCUGCUCUUGACAUCAUGCAGUUGCAAGCAGCCCAUGUGUAGUUGAGAGUGUGCUAGAGCCAAAGAGUGAUUUGUGAUUUGCAAAAUCUCAAGAUUAAGGACUCCUCUUAGUGUUGGAGGGUAGCAAGUGUGUGUCUAUUCAUGGUUUAGCUGAGUGCUGAUCAAGUGAAGUCAUUGACGCUUGUUACUCUUGGAGGUUGACAUCACCUAGAUGGUCUUGGUGACCUGGUUCUUGAUGAGCUCUUGGAGAUUGUGGGAGCCCUAAGAAGAAGAUCUUAUACACGAUGUGAAGCUCACUGUUCGAAGAUGGAGAAUGAGCAUUCUUAGUGAAGCACUCUUAUUUUUGUGACUUGAGGGAGCAAAACCCUUAGUGGGUGCUCCAACGUGGAUUAGGGGGGGGCGUCAACUCCUCGAUACCACGGGAAAAAAUUCGGUUGUCUCGUGUCCUCACUCUUUACAUUUUAGCACUUCUUUUGAGCACUUACUUCCUACAAUUUACUUAUCUUUUUGCUCUUGAUAAAGUUGUGUUUGCUUUGCUCAUAUCUUGCCUAAGGAAAUGAUGAUCAUGUUAGUGUGCUCUCCUUGCUAGGUCCUUUGUUUGCUAGUGUGCUUAGUUUCUAGGUUUGAACCUUGUAGAUUGGGCAACACUAGAAAUCUAGGCUAAAGUUUACUUUUAUUGUUCUAGAAAUUUCAAAAAGUUCCAAUUCAACUGCCCUUCUUGGCAACCGAUCCUUACAAGAAUUCAGAAACUUCCUCCAAGAGAAAAUGUAGUGUUUUUUUUAGAAAAGGGAAUAUGUAUUAAUAUUCCAAGAGAAAAUGUAGUGUUGCAAGGGAGAAAUGCAGAUCCUGCAAUGAGCUCUUCGAUCCAUUGCUAGUGAAUUGAAAGAUGCAGAUAAUAGCUGUUGCCGUGGCUUUCAGAAAAAUAAUAUAUUCUUGCUAUUUACUCUUUGCUUGGAGCAUGAGCUAAAGAAUAAAGAUGGAAGGAAAUUUUCUUUAGUAAAAACAUAGUCAUGUAGAAUGAAUUUUGUUUGAAGUAUUGAUAUGCAAGGAACCUUUUCGCUUUAAACAUGGAAAGAAUCGUCAUCUAGGUAAGAAAAUUAUCUUUAAUUUGAAGAAGCUUUUUAUUUUGAAUAACUCUCUUUAUUCAUGCUUCAUGUAUCGGUCACAUUCUGCUUUUUUUUCCCUCAUCUAAUGCCUGCGUGAACACUACUCUGCUCUGCUCCUGUCUAAGCACGACAUGACCAGAUUACCACUUUUCUGUGAAGGAUCGACACGAAGAUUAACUGCUGUAAAUGCAAACUGCAACAUGGAUGCCACUUGUCACUAUAAGAAUGACAUAAAAUUCCCACCUUCUAAGCGCAUUGUGUUCAGACAUCUUUUCCCCAGAGGAAAUUAAGGCAUAACUGCAGAACAUUAACCCUCAAAGCAAGUUCGUUGAGGUUUUCCAAUGAGCUCUUGGGUCCAUUGGUAGUGCAGUGAGCUUCAGGUAACAGCUCUUGUCGAGGCUUUAUAAAAUAACAUAUGAAAUUGCUCUUUGCUCUUCUCUUCCGGCUGCAGCUAAAGAACAAAGACGCAAGGAACUUUUCUUUUAAAAAAACAAGUCAUAUGGAAUGAACUUUUGUUUGAAAUAAUCAUAUGGAAGGAACCUUUUUCUAAAACAAAAAAUAAAGAGAUGGAAA